GAUGGACGCUAGCGGCAGGCCUAACACAUGCAAGUCGAGGGAGAAGCCCUUUCGGGGGCAGAAACCGGCGCACGGGUGCGUAACGCGUAUGCAACCUACCUUUCACAGGGGGAUAGCCCGAAGAAAUUUGGAUUAAUACCCCAUAAUAUUGUUGGAUGGCAUCAUCUGGCAAUUAAAGCUACGACGGUGGAAGAUGGGCAUGCGUCCUAUUAGCUAGUUGGAGUGGUAACGGCACCCCAAGGCUACGAUAGGUAGGGGUCCUGAGAGGGAGAUCCCCCACACUGGUACUGAGACAGGUACCAGACUCCUACGGGAGGCAGCAGUGAGGAAUAUUGGUCAAUGGUCGGAAGACUGAACCAGCCAUGCCGCGUGCAGGAAGAAUGCCUUAUGGGUUGUAAACUGCUUUUAUAUGGGAAGAAUAAGGCGUAACGUGUACGUUGAUGACGGUACCAUAUGAAUAAGC
This 463-nucleotide ribosomal RNA is filed under the name Capnocytophaga gingivalis. Its description in RNAcentral is "bacterial SSU rRNA". It matches the Rfam family "Bacterial small subunit ribosomal RNA", at positions 28 to 491 of the family's 1533-position model. The record is from RNAcentral. Lineage: Bacteria; Pseudomonadati; Bacteroidota; Flavobacteriia; Flavobacteriales; Flavobacteriaceae.